UUGGCAAACAAUCAAUAAGGGAUUGACAACCCCUUCAUAGCGUUGGGAGCAAGCUUUUGUGUUUAUGCAGGAUCUUGAGAUACUCCUCCACUGGAUUGAUACCUUGGUUCUCAAACUGAGGGAAAUACUUACCACCACUACGCUACAUCACCCUUUCCGUUUGGAGGGAACACCAACACAAGGCCCCAAGGCCACGGGGAGAAAUCCUUUGCAUACUUUCCUAGGAAGUCCCUUAAGGCGCAGCCACAGCUGAAGGAUUCCUGGUGCCGUUGCUGAGGGAAUAUCAAGCAACACUCCUAUUUCUGGCGUUGUUGCCGGGAGGAGCAUGUCAAGAUAAUUUCCCAACAACGUGCCUAUUUCUAGCGCCAUUGGAAGGUCUUUUGUUGCAGUAGCAGAAGUAUUUCUGGCACCGUUGCCGGGGAGGAGAAAUCAAGAUCUAUCCAAGUAGGUCUAACAAACUCAUCUCCUGCAUUUACUUUUGUUGCUAGUUGCCUCCCGUUUUCCUCUCCCCCACU
This 515-nucleotide long non-coding RNA is filed under the name Hordeum vulgare. RNAcentral's name for it is "long non-coding RNA (HVUL_LNC019503)". Lineage: Eukaryota; Viridiplantae; Streptophyta; Magnoliopsida; Poales; Poaceae. The record is from RNAcentral.